CCUACGGGAGGCAGCAGUGAGGAAUAUUGGUCAAUGGACGAGAGUCUGAACCAGCCAAGUAGCGUGCAGGAUGACUGCCCUAUGGGUUGUAAACUUCUUUUAUAUAGGAAUAAAAUGUUCCACGUGUGGGAUUUUGUAUGUACUAUAUGAAUAAGGAUCGGCUAACUCCGUUCCAGCAGCCGCGGUAAUACGGAGGAUCCGAGCGUUAUCCGGAUUUCUUGGGUUUAAAGGGAGCGUAGCUGGAUUGUUAAGUCAGUUGUGAAAGUUUGCGGCUCAACCGUAAAAUUGCAGUUGAAACUGGCAGUCUUGAGUACAGUAGAGGUAGGCGGAAUUCGUGGUGUAGCGGUGAAAUGCUUAGAUAUCACGAAGAACUCCGAUUGCGAAGGCAGCUCACUGGACUGCAACUGACACUGAGGCUCGAAAGUGUGGGUAUCAAACAGGAUUAGAUACCCGGGUAGUC
Molecule: ribosomal RNA, 460 nt
Filed under: uncultured bacterium
Lineage: Bacteria
Description: partial 16S ribosomal RNA
Rfam family: Bacterial small subunit ribosomal RNA
Source: RNAcentral